This is a long non-coding RNA of Portunus trituberculatus (swimming crab), 420 nucleotides long. RefSeq lists it as uncharacterized. Lineage: Eukaryota; Metazoa; Arthropoda; Malacostraca; Decapoda; Portunidae. The transcript is spliced from 2 exons. The record is from RefSeq and is a predicted model, not a curated record.
GAACUGAAGAAAGCUCAGAAAAGAAAUAUGACGUGUACGUAGGCGUCACCGUAUAUGCUACUGGGGCUUCAUGACACCUAUAUAGGCGUCACCGUAUUGAAGGGGUUAAACUGAUGUAUUUAUAUUCUAAUUUUAUGAAACUUUAUAUCUCAGUCAACAACCUACGAACUAUCUGUUUGGAACAUGCCAAGAUUGGGGACCAGAGUUUAUCUCCUUCUCUUGAGAACAUUGUUUUCUCUUCAUCGCCUUCACAAGUUCUCUAUAAUCUUCAGGUGCUGUAUUGACUGCUUAUGCCAGCCCACAACCCCAUGGCAGAGAAGGCCCUUGAGUUCCAGUACAAUUUCAUGAAGAGCGAAGGAAUGAAGAUUAUUAUAGAUGUGUUGGCUAAAAACAAUUUUCUGUCCAACACAGACAUGCUAA